RNAcentral lists this ribosomal RNA (257 nucleotides) under Escherichia coli. Its description in RNAcentral is "partial 16S ribosomal RNA". It matches the Rfam family "Bacterial small subunit ribosomal RNA", at positions 1270 to 1526 of the family's 1533-position model. The record is from RNAcentral. Lineage: Bacteria; Pseudomonadati; Pseudomonadota; Gammaproteobacteria; Enterobacterales; Enterobacteriaceae. RNAcentral also lists the same sequence under 1 other name.
GACCUCAUAAAGUGCGUCGUAGUCCGGAUUGGAGUCUGCAACUCGACUCCAUGAAGUCGGAAUCGCUAGUAAUCGUGGAUCAGAAUGCCACGGUGAAUACGUUCCCGGGCCUUGUACACACCGCCCGUCACACCAUGGGAGUGGGUUGCAAAAGAAGUAGGUAGCUUAACCUUCGGGAGGGCGCUUACCACUUUGUGAUUCAUGACUGGGGUGAAGUCGUAACAAGGUAACCGUAGGGGAACCUGCGGUUGGAUCAC